Molecule: long non-coding RNA, 706 nt
Filed under: Solanum lycopersicum (tomato)
Lineage: Eukaryota; Viridiplantae; Streptophyta; Magnoliopsida; Solanales; Solanaceae
Description: partial TCONS_00101171
Source: RNAcentral
AUUAAACCUCUGUGCUCUAAUUUCAAUAUUAAGCUAACAAAUUAUCGUCCAUAGUUCAAUCAGGUAAGUGCCCUUUUUCUUUAUCUUUCAGUUUUUGGUUUUAUUUGGGGUAGUAAUUAAUGACGGUGUAUCUAAAUUUCCUCUUUUGUUUUUGUUCCAGGAUUUUUAUUUAGAGCUAUUUAUCUUUAGAUCUGUGCUUUGCUGUUGGAGAAUCAAGAAUGUCUCGCGGGAACCAGAGAGAUCGAGAUCGUGAAAGGGCACAAGCCAGGGGAAAUCACAAGUCCAAGACACCUAAAAAUGAUGGAUUAACUCCUGAACAACGAAGAGAAAGGGAUGCAAAGGCACUUCAAGAGAAGGCGAAAAAGAAAGCAGCACAGGCGGAAGAUGGAUGGAAUAUCAACAAAUCGGAAAGCCAUAACAUCAAGAAGAAAUAGAUUCAUGACGAGUUUCAUGGAACUUUUUAUCCUCAGUAAUUCUGGCAUGUAUUGUUUGGCUUUUGUACCUUUGAUUUGUGUCUUCAUCUGCAAUGAAAUUUACUCACUCUUCACAUUGUUGGAAAGAAAUAUAUAUUGAUCAAAGAAAUUUGAAUUGGCUAAGUGCUAAUAUAGUUAUAUUAAAUGAUCUAUGAAUCAAGUGAAGAUACUAAAAUAGCUACCAGAUUAUAAUUUCUAUCAAGGUAAAUAGUUUGAGGUGCGGAUAAGGCGAC